RNAcentral lists this ribosomal RNA (463 nucleotides) under uncultured bacterium. RNAcentral describes it as "bacterial SSU rRNA". It matches the Rfam family "Bacterial small subunit ribosomal RNA", at positions 9 to 439 of the family's 1533-position model. The record is from RNAcentral.
GAGUUUGAACCUGGCUCAGGACGAACGCUGGCGGCGUGCCUAAUACAUGCAAGUCGAGCGAGCUUGCCUAGAUGAUUCUAGUGCUUGCACUAAAUGAAACUAGAUACAAGCGAGCGGCGGACGGGUGAGUAACACGUGGGUAACCUGCCCAAGAGACUGGGAUAACACCUGGAAACAGAUGCUAAUACCGGAUAACAACACUAGACGCAUGUCUAGAGUUUGAAAGAUGGUUCUGCUAUCACUCUUGGAUGGACCUGCGGUGCAUUAGCUAGUUGGUAAGGUAACGGCUUACCAAGGCAAUGAUGCAUAGCCGAGUUGAGAGACUGAUCGGCCACAUUGGGACUGAGACACGGCCCAAACUCCUACGGGAGGCAGCAGUAGGGAAUCUUCCACAAUGGACGAAAGUCUGAUGGAGCAACGCCGCGUGAGUGAAGAAGGGUUUCGGCUCGUAAAGCUCUGUAGG